UGCCAGCAGCCGCGGUAAUACGGAGAGGGCAAGCGUUGUUCGGAUUUACUGGGCAUAAAGCGCACGUAGGCGGGUUGGAAAGUCGGUUGUGAAAUCCCGGGGCUCAACCCCGGAACUGCUUCCGAAACUUCCAGCCUGGAGGACGAGAGGGGAGAGUGGAACUUCUGGUGGAGCGGUGAAAUGCGUAGAUAUCAGAAGGAACACCGGUGGCGAAAGCGACUCUCUGGCUCGUUUCUGACGCUGAGGUGCGAAAGCUAGGGGAGCGAACGGGAUUAGAUA
This 279-nucleotide ribosomal RNA is filed under the name uncultured bacterium. Its description in RNAcentral is "partial 16S ribosomal RNA". It matches the Rfam family "Bacterial small subunit ribosomal RNA", at positions 506 to 784 of the family's 1533-position model. The record is from RNAcentral.